RNAcentral lists this ribosomal RNA (429 nucleotides) under Bacteroidota bacterium. RNAcentral's name for it is "Bacteroidetes bacterium partial 16S ribosomal RNA". It matches the Rfam family "Bacterial small subunit ribosomal RNA", at positions 355 to 776 of the family's 1533-position model. The record is from RNAcentral. Lineage: Bacteria; Pseudomonadati; Bacteroidota.
UAGGGAAUCUUCCGCAAUGGACGCAAGUCUGACGGAGCAACGCCGCGUGAGUGAAGAAGGAUUUCGGUUCGUAAAACUCUGUUGUUAGAGAAGAACAGCGCAUAGAGUAACUGUUAUGCGUGUGACGGUAUCUAACCAGAAAGCCACGGCUAACUACGUGCCAGCAGCCGCGGUAAUACGUAGGUGGCAAGCGUUGUCCGGAUUUAUUGGGCGUAAAGCGAGCGCAGGCGGUCAAUUAAGUCUGAUGUGAAAGCCCCCGGCUCAACCGGGGAGGGUCAUUGGAAACUGGAAAACUUGAGUGCAGAAGAGGAAAGUGGAAUUCCAUGUGUAGCGGUGAAAUGCGCAGAGAUAUGGAGGAACACCAGUGGCGAAGGCGACUUUCUGGUCUGUAACUGACGCUGAUGUGCGAAAGCGUGGGAAUCAAACAGG